UUUGGAGUGAAGGGAGUUCUG
RNAcentral lists this microRNA (21 nucleotides) under Zea mays. RNAcentral describes it as "zma-miR159g-3p". Its record names the gene zma-miR159g-3p. Lineage: Eukaryota; Viridiplantae; Streptophyta; Magnoliopsida; Poales; Poaceae. The record is from miRBase by way of RNAcentral.